GACAGAGUAAGUAAAAUGCGUUAAGUGUUAAGGAAUGGGAAGUUGUCCUUAAACGAAAGAAUUUUUUCUGCGAUAUUUUACUGCAUCCGCUGUU
RNAcentral lists this non-coding RNA (94 nucleotides) under Fusibacter sp. 3D3. RNAcentral describes it as "Fusibacter sp. 3-D3-R-P8ASC2010 THF (Tetrahydrofolate) riboswitch aptamer". It matches the Rfam family "THF (Tetrahydrofolate) riboswitch aptamer". From Rfam's summary of the family: THF riboswitch presents a pseudoknot that joins P1-P2 and the loop of P3 and two THF binding. Lineage: Bacteria; Bacillati; Bacillota; Clostridia; Eubacteriales; Fusibacteraceae. RNAcentral also lists the same sequence under 1 other name. The record is from Rfam by way of RNAcentral.